This 263-nucleotide ribosomal RNA is filed under the name uncultured bacterium. Its description in RNAcentral is "partial 16S ribosomal RNA". It matches the Rfam family "Bacterial small subunit ribosomal RNA", at positions 793 to 1055 of the family's 1533-position model. The record is from RNAcentral.
GUCCACGCCGUAAACGAUGUCUACUAGCCGUUGGAGUCCUUGAGGCUUUAGUGGCGCAGCUAACGCACUAAGUAGACCGCCUUGGGAGUACGGUCGCAAGAUUAAAACUCAAAUGAAUUGACGGGGGCCCGCACAAGCGGUGGAGCAUGUGGUUUAAUUCGACGCAACGCGAAGAACCUUACCAGGUCUUGACAUCUAGAGAAUUCGCCAGAGAUGGCUUAGUGCCUUCGGGAGCUCUAAGACAGGUGCUGCAUGGCUGUCGU